UGCGUAGGCGGGCUUGUAAGUCAGUGUUGAAAUUCUGCCGCUUAACGGUAGAACUGCCAUUGAUACUGCAAGUCUUGAAUAUGGUUGAGGUAGGCGGAAUGUGUUGUGUAGCGGUGAAAUGCAUAGAUAUGACACAGAACGCCAAUUGCGAAGGCAGCUUACUAAGACAUUAUUGACGCUGAGGCACGAAAGCGUGGGGAGCGAACAGGAUUAGAUACCCUGGUAGUCC
This 229-nucleotide ribosomal RNA is filed under the name uncultured bacterium. RNAcentral's name for it is "partial 16S ribosomal RNA". It matches the Rfam family "Bacterial small subunit ribosomal RNA", at positions 568 to 796 of the family's 1533-position model. The record is from RNAcentral.